GUGGGGAAUAUUGGACAAUGGGCGCAAGCCUGAUCCAGCAAUGCCGCGUGUGUGAAGAAGGCCUGCGGGUUGUAAAGCACUUUCAGUGGGGAGGAAGGCCUCAAUGCUAAUAGUAUUGAGGAUUGACGUUACCCACAGAAGAAGCACCGGCUAACUCUGUGCCAGCAGCCGCGGUAAUACAGAGGGUGCAAGCGUUAAUCGGAAUUACUGGGCGUAAAGGGUGCGUAGGUGGUUUUUUAAGUCAGAUGUGAAAUCCCUGGGCUCAACCUAGGAAUUGCAUUUGAUACUGAAUAACUUGAGUAUGGUAGAGGGAAGUGGAAUUUCCAGUGUAGCGGUGAAAUGCGUAGAUAUUGGAAGGAACAUCAGUGGCGAAGGCGACUUCCUGGACCAUUACUGACACUGAGGCACGAAAGCGUGGGGAGCGAACAGGAUUAGAAACCCGAGUAGUCC
Molecule: ribosomal RNA, 450 nt
Filed under: uncultured bacterium
Lineage: Bacteria
Description: bacterial SSU rRNA
Rfam family: Bacterial small subunit ribosomal RNA
Source: RNAcentral